AUGCUGCUGCCCUGCCUUUGCAGUCAGCCCCUGCAACCCUUUUUCCUGCUCUGUACUUCCUGUCGGAGGCCUCCACCGCGUGUGCGUCCAGCGCCUCCGUGUUUCUUCAUUGUUAUGCCAAGUUCCACCACCGACGACCAUUUCCAUUUUGGAUACGCCAAGACCCGGACCAUCAAGUACCAUGACGUCUGUCGAUUGCCAAGUACCCCUUCGGAUAUGCAAGUCCCUCGAAGGUAUGCCAAUGCCUAG
Molecule: ribosomal RNA, 249 nt
Filed under: Triticum aestivum (bread wheat)
Lineage: Eukaryota; Viridiplantae; Streptophyta; Magnoliopsida; Poales; Poaceae
Description: partial small subunit ribosomal RNA
Source: RNAcentral